Non-coding RNA from Podarcis lilfordi (Lilford's wall lizard), 75 nucleotides. The record is from the annotation of a GenBank genome assembly. NCBI's taxonomy places the organism in Eukaryota, Metazoa, Chordata, Lepidosauria, Squamata, Lacertidae.
ACCUUACAUUAUCUCAGCUGGUAAAGUAUGAAACUCUUAAUCUCAGGGUUGUGGGUUUGAGCCCCACGUUGGGCA